RNAcentral lists this small nuclear RNA (23 nucleotides) under Arabidopsis thaliana (thale cress). RNAcentral describes it as "snRNA_13025". Lineage: Eukaryota; Viridiplantae; Streptophyta; Magnoliopsida; Brassicales; Brassicaceae. The record is from RNAcentral.
GUGAGGAGUCAAGCUAGAGACUU